AUUGAACGCUGGCGGCAGGCCUAACACAUGCAAGUCGAGCGGAUGAAGGGAGCUUGCUCCUGGAUUCAGCGGCGGACGGGUGAGUAAUGCCUAGGAAUCUGCCUGGUAGUGGGGGAUAACGUCCGGAAACGGGCGCUAAUACCGCAUACGUCCUGAGGGAGAAAGUGGGGGAUCUUCGGACCUCACGCUAUCUGAUGAGCCUAGGUCGGAUUAGCUAGUUGGUGGGGUAAAGGCCUACCAAGGCGACGAUCUGUAACUGGUCUGAGAGGAUGAUCAGUCACACUGGAACUGAGACACGGUCCAGACUCCUACGGGAGGCAGCAGUGGGGAAUAUUGGACAAUGGGCGAAAGCCUGAUCCAGCCAUGCCGCGUGUGUGAAGAAGGUCUUCGGAUUGUAAAGCACUUUAAGUUGGGAGGAAGGGCAGUAAGUUAAUACCUUGCUGUUUUGACGUUACCAACAGAAUAAGCACCGGCUAACUUCGUG
RNAcentral lists this ribosomal RNA (484 nucleotides) under uncultured bacterium. Its description in RNAcentral is "partial 16S ribosomal RNA". It matches the Rfam family "Bacterial small subunit ribosomal RNA", at positions 30 to 507 of the family's 1533-position model. The record is from RNAcentral.